This 254-nucleotide ribosomal RNA is filed under the name uncultured bacterium. RNAcentral's name for it is "partial 16S ribosomal RNA". It matches the Rfam family "Bacterial small subunit ribosomal RNA", at positions 524 to 776 of the family's 1533-position model. The record is from RNAcentral.
UACGUAGGGGGCAAGCGUUGUUCGGAAUGACUGGGCAUAAAGGGUGCGUAGGCGGUGUAGCAAGUUAGAAGUGAAAUACCUAGAGCUUAACUCAGGUGCUGCUUCUAAAACUGCUAUACUUGAGUGCAGUAGAGGAAAGUGGAAUUCCUAGUGUAGCGGUGGAAUGCGUAGAUAUUAGGAGGAACAUCAGUGGCGAAGGCGACUUUCUGGACUGUAACUGACGCUGAGGCACGAAAGUGUGGGGAGCAAACAGG